RNAcentral lists this ribosomal RNA (113 nucleotides) under Acanthosepion pharaonis. The record is from RNAcentral. Lineage: Eukaryota; Metazoa; Mollusca; Cephalopoda; Sepiida; Sepiidae.
UUACGGCCGCAUCACGUUGAAACACAGGUUCUCGUACGAUCAACGAAGUUAAACAAAGUCGAGCCUGGUCAGUACCUAAAUGGGUAACCACUUGGAAAUACUAAGUGCUGUAA